Molecule: non-coding RNA, 29 nt
Filed under: Mus musculus (house mouse)
Lineage: Eukaryota; Metazoa; Chordata; Mammalia; Rodentia; Muridae
Source: RNAcentral
UAUCCUUAUUAUAUAGCUGUCUUUAGGAA